CUCUUCUUGGGAAUUAUUUUGAAGUAUGGCCUGCCCACUGAUUUAUUUGAAGGGCCGCGGUAUUUUGACCGUGCAAAGGUAGCAUAAUCAUUAGUUCUUUAAUUGUGAACUGGUAUGAAUGGUUUGACGAGGCAUUAUCUGUCUUUUAUUGAUUAUUUGGUUGAAUUUGGUGUUUGGAUAAAAAUAUCUAAAUGUUGUUGUGGGACGAGAAGACCCUAUAGAGUUUUACAUAGUCUUUUUCUUUUUUGUUGGUUUUUGUUAUUGAUUUUGCUAAUGUUUUGUUGGGGUGAUGAGAAGAUUCUUUUAACUCUUCUUUUUUUUGUAUAUACUUAUUUGUAUUUUUUUGAUCCUUUUUUAUUGAUUAAAAGAUUAAAUUACCUUAGGGAUAACAGCGUAAUCUUUUUUGAGAGUUCUUAUUGACAAAAGGGUUUGCGACCUCGAUGUUGGAUUAAGAUGAAUUUUUGGUGUAGAGGCUUUAAUUAAAUUUUUAUUAGGUCUGUUCGACCUUUAAAAUCUUACA
RNAcentral lists this ribosomal RNA (520 nucleotides) under Kalotermes brouni. RNAcentral describes it as "partial 16S ribosomal RNA". It matches the Rfam family "Bacterial large subunit ribosomal RNA", at positions 1830 to 2600 of the family's 2925-position model. The record is from RNAcentral. Lineage: Eukaryota; Metazoa; Arthropoda; Insecta; Blattodea; Kalotermitidae.